UAGCAAAAGAAUUAAGACAUUGGAGGG
RNAcentral lists this non-coding RNA (27 nucleotides) under Rattus norvegicus (Norway rat). Lineage: Eukaryota; Metazoa; Chordata; Mammalia; Rodentia; Muridae. The record is from RNAcentral.